AUUGAACGCUGGCGGCAGGCCUAACACAUGCAAGUCGAACGAGUGGCGGACGGGUGAGUAAUGUCUGGGAAACUGCCUGAUGGAGGGGGAUAACUACUGGAAACGGUAGCUAAUACCGCAUACCAUCGGAUGUGCCCAGAUGGGAUUAGCUAGUAGGUGGGGUAAAGGCUCACCUAGGCGACGAUCCCUCGCUGGUCUGAGAGGAUGACAAGCCACAUGGGCACUGAGACACGGUCCAGACUCCUACGGUGGGCAGAAGUGGGGAAUAUUGCACAAUGGGCGAAAGCCUGAUGCAGCAAUGCCGCGUGUAUGAAGAAGGCCUUCGGGUUGUAAAGUACUUGCAGCGGGGAGGCGUUACCCGCAGAAGAAGCACCGGCUAACUCCGUGCCAGCAGCCGCGGUAAUAC
RNAcentral lists this ribosomal RNA (406 nucleotides) under uncultured bacterium. RNAcentral describes it as "partial 16S ribosomal RNA". It matches the Rfam family "Bacterial small subunit ribosomal RNA", at positions 30 to 526 of the family's 1533-position model. The record is from RNAcentral.